RNAcentral lists this ribosomal RNA (406 nucleotides) under uncultured bacterium. Its description in RNAcentral is "partial 16S ribosomal RNA". It matches the Rfam family "Bacterial small subunit ribosomal RNA", at positions 30 to 526 of the family's 1533-position model. The record is from RNAcentral.
AUUGAACGCUGGCGGCAGGCUUAACACAUGCAAGUCGAACGAGUGGCGGACGGGUGAGUAAUGCCUGGGAAUCUCGCUGAUGGAGGGGGAUAACUACGGGAAACGGUAGCUAAUACCGCCUACCAUAGGAGGGGCCCAGGUGGGAUUAGGUAGUUGGUGGGGUAAAGGCUCACCAAGCCGACGCCCCCUAGCUGGUCUGAGAGGAUGACCAGCCACACUGGAACGGAGACACGGUCCAGACUCCUACGGGAGGCAGCAGUGGGGAAUAUUGCACAAUGGGCGCAAGCCUGAUGCAGCCAUGCCGCGUGAUUGAAGAAGGCCUUCGGGUUGUAAAGUUCUUUCAGUGGGGAGGCGUUACCCACAGAAGAAGCACCGGCUAACUCCGUGCCAGCCGCCGCGGUAAUAC